This 253-nucleotide ribosomal RNA is filed under the name uncultured bacterium. RNAcentral describes it as "partial 16S ribosomal RNA". It matches the Rfam family "Bacterial small subunit ribosomal RNA", at positions 524 to 776 of the family's 1533-position model. The record is from RNAcentral. RNAcentral also lists the same sequence under 2 other names.
UACGGAGGAUGCAAGCGUUAUCCGGAUUUAUUGGGUUUAAAGGGUGCGUAGGCGGGAUUAUAAGUCAGCGGUGAAAGUUUGAGGCUCAACCUUAAAAUUGCCGUUGAAACUGUUUUUCUUGAGUAUAUUUGAAGUAGGCGGAAUUCGUGGUGUAGCGGUGAAAUGCAUAGAUAUCACGAAGAACUCCAAUUGCGAAGGCAGCUUACUAAACUAUAACUGACGCUGAAGCACGAAAGCGUGGGUAUCAAACAGG